GGUAUUGUUUGCCCCACUAUAAGCCCCGGAAACUUAAUUGGUGUCAAACAGCAC
This is a regulatory RNA element of 54 nucleotides. It matches the Rfam family "Ribosomal protein L13 leader". From Rfam's summary of the family: This family is a putative r-protein leader autoregulatory structure found in B. subtilis and other low-GC Gram-positive bacteria. It is located in the 5' untranslated regions of mRNAs encoding the L13-S9 (rplM-rpsI) ribosomal protein operon. The record is from Rfam.